Molecule: ribosomal RNA, 465 nt
Filed under: Vreelandella stevensii
Lineage: Bacteria; Pseudomonadati; Pseudomonadota; Gammaproteobacteria; Oceanospirillales; Halomonadaceae
Description: partial 16S ribosomal RNA
Rfam family: Bacterial small subunit ribosomal RNA
Source: RNAcentral
CCUACGGGUGGCAGCAGUGGGGAAUAUUGGACAAUGGGGGCAACCCUGAUCCAGCCAUGCCGCGUGUGUGAAGAAGGCCCUCGGGUUGUAAAGCACUUUCAGUGAGGAAGAACGCCUGGUGGUUAAUACCCAUCAGGAAAGACAUCACUCACAGAAGAAGCACCGGCUAACUCCGUGCCAGCAGCCGCGGUAAUACGGAGGGUGCGAGCGUGAAUCGGAAUUACUGGGCGUAAAGCGCGCGUAGGUGGCUUGAUAAGCCGGUUGUGAAAGCCCCGGGCUCAACCUGGGAACGGCAUCCGGAACUGUCAAGCUAGAGUGCAGGAGAGGAAGGUAGAAUUCCCGGUGUAGCGGUGAAAUGCGUAGAGAUCGGGAGGAAUACCAGUGGCGAAGGCGGCCUUCUGGACUGACACUGACACUGAGGUGCGAAAGCGUGGGUAGCAAACAGGAUUAGAUACCCUGGUAGUC